UACGAAGGGACCUAGCGUUGUUCGGAAUUACUGGGCGUAAAGGGCGCGUAGGCGGUUUUUUAAGUCAGAUGUGAAAGCCCUGGGCUCAACCUAGGAGGUGCAUUUGAUACUGGGAGACUAGAGUACGAGAGGGGAUAGUGGAAUUGCGAGUGUAGAGGUGAAAUUCGUAGAUAUUCGCAGGAACACCAGUGGCGAAGGCGGCUAUCUGGCUCGAUACUGACGCUAAGGCGCGAGAGCGUGGGGAGCAAACAGG
RNAcentral lists this ribosomal RNA (253 nucleotides) under uncultured bacterium. Its description in RNAcentral is "partial 16S ribosomal RNA". It matches the Rfam family "Bacterial small subunit ribosomal RNA", at positions 524 to 776 of the family's 1533-position model. The record is from RNAcentral.